This is a non-coding RNA of Eptesicus fuscus (big brown bat), 441 nucleotides long. The record is from the annotation of a RefSeq genome assembly. NCBI's taxonomy places the organism in Eukaryota, Metazoa, Chordata, Mammalia, Chiroptera, Vespertilionidae.
AUGACCUCCACCAUGGCCUGGGCCCCUCUCCUCCUCACCCUCCUGGCUCACUGCACAGGAUCCUGGGCCCAGUCUGUGCUGACUCAGCCGUCCUCAGUGUCGGGGGCCCUGGGUCAGAGGGUCACCAUCUCCUGCACUGGAAGCUUCUACAACCUUGGGAGUCAUAGCAUACAGUGGCACCAACAGCUCCCAGGAAAGGCCCCCAAACAAAUCAUCUAUGGUGAUAGCUACCGACCCUCAGGGGUCCCUGAUCGAUUCUCUGGCAUCAGGUCUGGCAGCACAGCCACCCUGACCAUCACGGGGCUGCAGGCUGAGGACGAGGCCGAUUAUCACUGCUUGACAUGGGACGGCAGUAUCAGCAGUUACACAGUGCAGCAGGCCCGUGGGGAAAAACACCAGCAGGUGGAAGUCUAUAGCAGCUUUGUUAACCCCAUAGACUGA